This is a long non-coding RNA of Drosophila montana, 2195 nucleotides long. RefSeq lists it as uncharacterized. NCBI's taxonomy places the organism in Eukaryota, Metazoa, Arthropoda, Insecta, Diptera, Drosophilidae. The record is from RefSeq and is a predicted model, not a curated record. The transcript is spliced from 2 exons.
UUCAAAAGAGUAUUACGAAAAAACCAAAAUUGCAAUCAUUUAUUAUUUUUGUUUGUUGCAAGCACUUGCAGCAUAUUUUUUUUAGCAUGUUUAGUUGAUAAGCAACAGGAUUUGGUUCUAGGUUCCUAAAAGCUUUGCAAGCCAUUCAAAAAAGUUUUUAUUUUUGUAUAUACAUUUUGCAGACUUUUCGGAGCCCAACCAAAAAUAAAAAAAAAUAGCCAUAUCGGCGAUGAGUUACUCAAAUUAUAUUUUUUUAUACAUACUUAUGUAGUAUCAUUUUCUAAAAAAAAAAAAAGGAAAAACUGGAAAAUUAGCGAAAUAUUCAAUUAUGCGAUAUUCUUAAUGCACACUAAAUUUUUGUUGCUUAACAUUUGUAUUUUUAUUAUAGAAAAUUAAAUAAAAACUAUUGAAUAUUAAAAACACAUACAAGUAAAUAAAUUAAAAUAAAACAAACCAACAACACCAAAAGACACCGAAAAAAGAAUCGAAUUAAAAACAGUUUUUGCAUUUAAACCUUUGUGCACUGAAAAGCAACGAAGCUGAUUUAACUGUAAAGCGAAAAGUUAACUUUUAUAUUAAAGUCUUUAAAGUCGGUAGAUCUGUCAAUUGUUCAGCUAGAUGAGAUCGAUAUACAUAGUUUUUAUGCUAUAUAUGAAAAGCUGUUGGAAAUUAUCUAGCUCUUUAUAUUGAAGACUAUUUAAAAUUGAAAAUUGUCCAUAUUACGUAUUGAAAAGAGCUAAGAUUGAUAUAAUUGUUUACUUUUUGAAAAGAGUUUAAACUUCAAACAAAACAAGCCCGGAAAAUUGUCAUAAUAAAAAUGUACUAUAAAAUAAACACUUGUUAAAUUUAAGGCUUAAGCAAUUAAGAAUACUGAAGUCGGUUGUAAACGACUGGGCGAUACCCUGUGCGUAGCUUAAAUCCGGUUAAAUACUGAAUGCUUGCAAUUUUGAUAGUUCGAUUACUUGACUAUUAAUUAAUGAAAUUAAUACCCUUUAUGACACGGCAUACAGCUGCACGUGGCGCAAGGUAUCCAAAAUCGUGCGUUAAUUGGACUGUGUUGUGAUUCUCGAAUUGAUUUGCCGCAGUUGUCCCACACAAUGUCUGAUUGCAAAUUUCAUUUUGAUACGGUCAAAGUAGUUGGCAUUUCAUGCAAUUGAACCUGCCUAUGGGCCAAUUCAGGUAACCUCCGAGUCAAUGCGCUUGCGACGCGCUCUUGAGGCCAUUGCCGGCCCACUCAAUCAAUGGCGCUGGGUCUGGAGAGCGGAUCGUGUUAUUGGCUUGUCAUAUUUAUGCGACAGUUGCGAAAGGCUUUGUUUAUUGCCGUGCAGACGUGGGAAUGUCUAGAAACCCUCCAGGAAACCCGCUGCCUCAACCAAUUAGCGCAUGACAAGCAGCAGCGAAUUCGAGAGUUAACAAUGGUCCCCGACCACAAGAUGACUUGCUACCAACCAAUUCAGUGCAUACCACUAGCUGCCCACUACGCUCCACGACCAUUUGUCUGGGGCCAGUUGUAGCUGUUGUGGCCAAGGUCGACGGCGAUUCAAAAUAAUUAAUCGCUUAAUUGUCAUCAUCGUCGUCUCGUCAAUGGGAUGCUGUGCACGCUGAUGUUGCAUCUGGCUUUCAUUCGAUGGCGCCAAGGUCAGCUGGGGCAGCAAUAGAAGCUCGCCAGAAGCUGCUCCGUUUUGUGGUUAAGGUUUCCGCUCGUGUAAUUGGUAAUGUAAAACCAUUUUGGGCCAUUGUGUAACUGCGAUAAUUACAAUUGAGCUGACAAGAGCUGCUUUGUGUUUCGCAUUUCAAAUGUUUCGUCUUCGCUUGCGGCUCUGCGGCUUUGUAGGCCAUUCUUAUCGAGACCAUCUGCAUAGAAACUUUCACCCAACUUGGUAUACUUUUAACGCGCAUAAAUACAUUUGGUAUGAUUGUCUAUGGCCUGUCAUUUUUAUAUGACAUGCAAUUGGAAUUUUAAGUGCAGCCGCUUGCGACUCUUUCAAGUGCUCGAAUAUGGCAUUUGGUAUACAUAGUUAUGAAUACAGAUCAAAACGUGUUUCGGAAAAGCCAACUUCUCAGACCACAAAUCAUUUCACUUUCACAAGCCUUUCAAGGUCCAAAAAAAAAAAUAUAAAAAAACUUUAAACAACCCCAUGAAGCAUCAAUUUUCUAACAAAGCUUAAUAUGAAAACGAAUGAAAAAAAAAAUAA